Molecule: long non-coding RNA, 1193 nt
Filed under: Homo sapiens (human)
Lineage: Eukaryota; Metazoa; Chordata; Mammalia; Primates; Hominidae
Description: HSALNT0100665
Source: RNAcentral
CAACUAUUCUGGUUUACCUGAGACUAAGGAGGUUCUUGGGACAUGGGGCUUUUUGGUGUUAAAGCUGAGAAAGUCCUGGGCAAACCGGGACGAGUUGGCUACCCUCCCUCGAGACACCUCCUGAAAGUCUUUGAUAGCUUAUGUGAAAAGAGCAAGGUCAGGGUAUCUACUAUCCUUUCAAGGUCACCUCAGGCUGGCUUUCUUGCUAACUGAAGGUCACUGCUCUCACCAGGUGGUCUCCUCUACCCAAUCCUUCCCUUCCGGAUUCCAGGAAUCAUUUCCACUCUUUGUCAUUGGGGCCUGGGGGUGGUAGCAGCUCUGACACUACUAAUCCUGACUAUCUGCACCAUUCCUGUGGUUCCUCUCUGCUCUCCUGAACCUCAGUAAAUAGCACUUUUAAAAAUAACCCCCUCUUGAGUUAUCUAAAGAUGAAUGAGCCACGGUUUUCCAUGGGGACCCUGACUGAUGUGAGGGAAAAGGAGAAAUGUAGAAAUAAAUGUUAUCAGAAACCAUUAAGAUGCAAAGGUACUUAACCUCUCAAAGCCCCAGUUCCCCAUCCAUAAGCCUGUGAUCACCUCAUAGGGCUGUUAUAAGAAAUGAUUAAGAAAAUCUACUUAAAGCUAUUUGACAGCAUAUCAAAAGCACUCAGCAAAUUUUAGCCACCACUGUAGCUAUUAUUCUUUACUUCUCUUCUUAACAGAAACAAGCCAGAAGGCAAGAUCAGGCUUGCCAUUCUUCUGAGAAGGACCCCAGAAUCUCACCUCUCCAGAUGGCCUAAGCACUAUUCACAAGCACAAAGACAUGGAAUCAACCUAAAUGCCCAUCAGUGGAAGACUGAAUAAUGGAAAUCUGGUACAUAUACGCCACGGAAUACUAGGCAGCCAUAAAAAAGAAAGGCAUCCCACAUUUUGAGUAAUAUGGAUGGAGCUGGAGACCAUUAUCCUUAGCAAACUAAUGGAAGAACAGGAAACCAAAUACUGUAUGUUCUCACUUAUAAGUGGAUGCUAAAUGAUGAGAACACAUGGGCAUUUAAAGGGGAACAACACACACUGGGGCCUAUUGGAGGGUGGAGAGUGGGAGGAGGGAGAGGGUCAGGAAAAAUAACUAAUGAAUACUAGGCUUAAUACCUGGGUGAUGAAAUAAUCUGUACAACUAACUCCUGUGACACAUGUUUACCUAUAUAACCAACCGGC